AGAGAGGUGGCCGAGUGGCUUAAGGCGCACGCUUGGAAAGCGUGUAUACGUUAAUAGCGUAUCGUGGGUUCGAAUCCCAUCCUCUCUGCUA
Molecule: transfer RNA, 91 nt
Filed under: Flavobacteriaceae bacterium
Lineage: Bacteria; Pseudomonadati; Bacteroidota; Flavobacteriia; Flavobacteriales; Flavobacteriaceae
Description: tRNA-Ser
Rfam family: tRNA
About the family: Transfer RNA (tRNA) molecules are approximately 80 nucleotides in length. Their secondary structure includes four short double-helical elements and three loops (D, anti-codon, and T loops).
Source: RNAcentral